CCUACGGGAGGCUGCAGUGAGGAAUAUUGGUCAAUGGACGAGAGUCUGAACCAGCCAAGUAGCGUGAAGGAUGACUGCCCUAUGGGUUGUAAACUUCUUUUAUAUGGGAAUAAAACGUUCCACGUGUGGGAUUUUGUAUGUACCAUAUGAAUAAGGAUCGGCUAACUCCGUGCCAGCAGCCGCGGUAAUACGGAGGAUCCGAGCGUUAUCCGGAUUUAUUGGGUUUAAAGGGAGCGUAGGUGGAUUGUUAAGUCAGUUGUGAAAGUUUGCGGCUCAACCGUAAAAUUGCAGUUGAAACUGGCAGUCUUGAGUACAGUAGAGGUGGGCGGAAUUCGUGGUGUAGCGGUGAAAUGCUUAGAUAGCACGAAGAACCCCGAUUGCGAAGGCAGUUCACUGGACUGCAACUGACACUGAGGCUCGAAAGUGUGGGUAUCAAACAGGAUUAGAUACCCUAGUAGUC
Molecule: ribosomal RNA, 460 nt
Filed under: uncultured bacterium
Lineage: Bacteria
Description: partial 16S ribosomal RNA
Rfam family: Bacterial small subunit ribosomal RNA
Source: RNAcentral